This 926-nucleotide long non-coding RNA is filed under the name Cricetulus griseus (Chinese hamster). Its description in RNAcentral is "lncRNA (ENSCGRG00015005711.2)". Lineage: Eukaryota; Metazoa; Chordata; Mammalia; Rodentia; Cricetidae. The record is from RNAcentral.
CUGCAAGAUGUCCCCAUGACUCUAUGCCUGGAGGUCACAGCAUAGCAGCAGAGGAGUUGAUUAGAGACUGUUGUCACACGGUUGCAUCCAGGUUGUUGCAAGAGAUUGACUGCAAGGCAGUCAUCCAGCUCACACUCCUGGUAUGGUUUGAGUUGGCUAAGGGACCAGUGAGAACCCUGGGUUCCCAUCAUGCUACUGUCUUCUUGCUAUGGACUGGCUACACAGUAUGAGCAGCUACGGUUCCUCUUGGUGGGUGGUGCAAAUCAAAUAUAAGACAUGGGUACAGAAGACCAGGAAGUGUUUGCAUCACAAGCACAUGACGAGUGGCAGAUGCAUUUCAGCAACCUUAUUCUGCUCUGCGCAGCGGGCAAGGCCAAGAGAGCCAUGUGUUCAGGAAUGUGUGGCCCUAUCUGGCUGAUUGAUCUCUGUCUCUUGGCUCAAAGUCUAGUAAGAGAAAUUCAAGCAGUUCUGAAAUUUAUGGCGUUUCCCCUGAGCUGUCACUUGGCAGGAAUGUCAGAAAUCACCUACAGUGCACAGUGGACAAUUGCCAUCCAGACUCAUGCUUGUGGAAGCUGCUCCUGUUUAGGAGUCUCAACAUCCUGAUGAAGAAGGGAGACUGGUGAGCCAGAGGUCAUGCUAGCAGCCCAGUGUGGACUCCACAAGAGUUAGGAAAGCUGCCACAAACCCAAGCGGACUCCACAAAGCAAUCGCCAUGCCUCAGUAACAGCUGCCUGUCCCCACAGUGUGGCUCCCACUGUAGGCUUCUGAGCAGAUGAUGCUAAUCAUGUAUGUUGGACCACUUACUGAUUUUUCCAGUGCUGAGGGCUGGUGGAAACCCACAUGUGGGGAUAUGCAGGGAGAGGGGUGAUGGGAUGCUUGUUCUGUGUCCUGUCCUUUCUAGCCUGAUGAAGGAAUAAACUAGCAAA